This 71-nucleotide transfer RNA is filed under the name Stegodyphus mimosarum. It matches the Rfam family "tRNA". Rfam says of the family: Transfer RNA (tRNA) molecules are approximately 80 nucleotides in length. Their secondary structure includes four short double-helical elements and three loops (D, anti-codon, and T loops). The record is from Rfam by way of RNAcentral. Lineage: Eukaryota; Metazoa; Arthropoda; Arachnida; Araneae; Eresidae.
GCCUUCUUGGUGUAAAGGUAUUACACUCGACUCGUAUUUGAAAGGUCCAGGUUCGAAUUCCGGCUAAGGCA